ACACCCUCAAGCCUAGCUUGGUGUUGGGCGUCUGUCCCGCCGUUUCGCGCGCGGACUCGCCUCAAAGUCAUUGGCGGCGGUCGUGCCGGCCCCUCGCGCAGCACAUUUGCGCUUCUCGGAGGCCCGGCGGACCCGCGCUCCAGCAAGACCUCUCACG
RNAcentral lists this unclassified non-coding RNA (157 nucleotides) under uncultured Periconia. Its description in RNAcentral is "sequence contains ITS2". The record is from RNAcentral. Lineage: Eukaryota; Fungi; Ascomycota; Sordariomycetes; Microascales; Halosphaeriaceae.